This 332-nucleotide ribosomal RNA is filed under the name uncultured bacterium. RNAcentral describes it as "bacterial SSU rRNA". It matches the Rfam family "Bacterial small subunit ribosomal RNA", at positions 28 to 359 of the family's 1533-position model. The record is from RNAcentral.
GACGAACGCUGGCGGCGUGCCUAACACAUGCAAGUCAACUUGAGGGAAGGAGCAAUCUGACCUGAUGGUGGCGCAAAGGGUGCGUAACGCGUAAGUAACUUGCCCUAGGUAAGGAAUAACGUCGAGAAAUCGGCGCUAAUACCUCAUAAUGCAGCGGAUCCGCAUGGAUAUGUUGUUAAAGGUUUACCGCCUUGGGAUAGGCUUGCGUCUGAUUAGCUAGUUGGUGUGGUAAUGGCACACCAAGGCUACGAUCAGUAACUGGUCUGAGAGGAUGAUCAGUCACACUGGAACUGAGACACGGUCCAGACUCCUACGGGAGGCAGCAGUUGAGG